RNAcentral lists this ribosomal RNA (481 nucleotides) under uncultured bacterium. RNAcentral's name for it is "partial 16S ribosomal RNA". It matches the Rfam family "Bacterial small subunit ribosomal RNA", at positions 28 to 523 of the family's 1533-position model. The record is from RNAcentral.
GACGAACGCUGGCGGCGUGCUUAACACAUGCAAGUCGAGCGGAAAGGCCACUUCGGUGGUACUCGAGCGGCGAACGGGUGCGUAACACGUGAGUAAUCUGCCCCUGGCUUUGGGAUAGCCACCGGAAACGGUGAUUAAUACCGGAUACGACCACUUCUCGCAUGGGAUGGGGGUGGAAAGUUUUUUCGGCCAGGGACGGGCUCGCGGCCUAUCAGCUUGAUGGUGAGGUAAUGGCUCACCAUGGCUUCGACGGGUAGCCAGCCUGGGAGGGUGACCGGUCACACUGGGACUGGGACACGGGCGAGACUCCUGCGGGGGGCAGCAGUGGGGAAUAUUGGACAAUGGGCGGACGCCUGAUCCAGCACCGCCGCUUGGGGGAUGACGGCCUUCGGGUUGUACACCUCUUUCAGCAGGGACGAAGCGCAAGUGACGGUACCUGCAGAAGAAGCACCGGCCAACUACGUGCCAGCCGCCGCGGUAA